RNAcentral lists this long non-coding RNA (2972 nucleotides) under Callithrix jacchus (white-tufted-ear marmoset). RNAcentral describes it as "lncRNA (ENSCJAG00000073893.1)". The record is from RNAcentral. Lineage: Eukaryota; Metazoa; Chordata; Mammalia; Primates; Cebidae.
AUGUUACCUGUCUAUUGCAGGUUGACAUGUAACAUAGUCUCACAUUAUUGUAACACAACCUUGCAUUAUUGUUCUUUCUUGUAUGGUCAAAGGGAAAGGAAUACCAUGGUGGAACUGCAAGAUGGCAUUAAAGUUCCUGCUUGGCAGUGCCACAAGUCACUUGGGCUUAUUUUGGACUGGCCAAAGCAAGUCAUGAGAAGCAGUAAAAUAUUGGCUGUUUCCUUUCCUCAGAAAUGGUUUAUGGAAGAUCAUAAAUAUAAAAAUAAUAGCUAAAAUUUAUUGGAAUACCAUUUACAUGCCAGGGCUUUACUAAGCAUUUACAGAUGGGAACACUUAAUUCUCACAGCAUCCCUGAGGUAGGUACCAUUGUAAUUCCCAUUGUUCAGGUGAGUGUAAAGCUGCAGCAGCUACAUUAUGAUUCUGCAAAGCAGAAAUUGCUGUCUAGCACUUUCCUUUCUAGCAAGGUGUAUUAGUUCACUCUUACAUUGCUAUAAAGAAAUACCUGAGACUGGGUAAUUUUUAAAGAAAAGAGGUUUAACUGGCUCACAGUUCUGCAGGUUGUACAAGAAGCGUGGUAGUAUCUGCUUCAGGGGAGGCCUCAGGGAACUUACAAUCACGUCAGAAGGGAAACUCAUUCAUGAGAACUCCACCCCCAUGAUCCAGUCACCUCCCACCAGGUCCCACCUCCAAAUUAGGGAUUACAGUUCGACAUGAGAUUAAAGUGAAGACAGACAUCCAAACCGUAUCGUGAGGUUUCCAAAAGCCAAAGUCCCUUGAGAAGAUUAAAAUUGAUGUCCUAGAAAUAGAGAAGAAUGGAAGUGGCUCUAAGAGAAAAACAAGAUAGAGGAGGAUUUUUUUUUUUAAUGAGACGGAGUCUUACUCUGUUGUCAGACUCGAGUGCAGUGGUGCAAUCUCGGCUCACUGCAACCUCCACCUCCUGGACUAAAGCAAUUCUUCUGAGAGUAGCUGGGACCACAGUCACGUGCCACCACGCCUGGCUAAUUUUUUUGUAUUUUUAGUAGAGACGGAGUUUCACCAUGUUGGCCAGGAUGGUCUCAAUCUCUUGACCUCGUGAUCCACCUGCCUCAGCCUCCCAAAGUGCUGGGAUUACAGGCAUGAGGAUUUUUUAAAAAUAUAUAUAUUUAAUUGUAUUUUAGAUUUUUGGAUACAUGUGAAGAACAUGUAAGAUUAUUGCAUAGGUACAUACAUGGUAAUGUGGUUUGUUGACUUCCUCCCCAUCACCUAUAUCCGGCAUUUCUCCCCAUGUUAUUCCUCCCCAACUCCCCAUACCCUGCUGUCCCUCCCCUAGUCCCCUAGUCCCCCCCACAGACCCUAGUGUGUGAUACUCCCCUCCCUGUUUCCAUGAAUUCUCAUUGUUCAACACCCACCUAUGAGUGAGAACAUGUGGUGUUUGAUUUUCUGUUCUUGUGUCAGUUUGCUGAGAAUGAUUUCCAGGUUCAUCCAUUGUCCCUACAAUGGACACAAACUCAUCGUUUUUGAUGACUGCAUAGUAUUCCAUGGUGUAUAUGUGCCACAUUUUCCCUGUCCAGUCAAUGAUAAUUGAUGGGCAUUUGGGUUGGUUCCAGGUCUUUGCUAUUGUAAACAGUGCUGCAACGAACAUUCAUGUGCAUGUGUCCUUAUAAUAGAAUGAUUUAUAAUCCUUUGGAUAUAUACCCAGGAUUGGGUAUUGCUGGGUCAAAUGGAAUUUCUAUUUCUAGGUCCUUGAAUUGCCACACUGUCUUCCACAAUGGUUGAACUAAUUUAUAAUUUACACUCCCACCAACAGUGUAAAAGUGUUCCUAUUUCUCCACAUCCUCUCCAGCAUCUGUUGUCUCCAGAUUUUUUAGUGAUUGCCAUUCUAACUGGCAUGAGAUGGUAUCUCAAUGUGGUUUUGAUUUGCAUUUCUCUAACAACCAAUGAAGAUGAACAGUUUUUCAUAUGUUUGUUGGCCUCAUGAAUGUAUUCUUUUGUAAAGUGUCUGUUCAUAUCCUUUGCCCACUUUUGAAUGGGUUUGUUUGUUUCUUUCUUGUAAAUCUGUUUUAGUUCUUUGUAGAUUCUGGAUAUUAGCCCUUUGUCAGAUGCAUAGAUUGCAAAAUUUUUUCCCAUUCUGUUGGUUGCCAAUUCACUCUAAUAAUUGUUUCUCUUGCUGUGCAGAAGCUGCGGAGUUUGGUUAGGUCCCAUUUGUCUGUUUUGGCUUUUGUUGCCAAUGCUUUUGGUGUUUUGGCCAUGAAGUCCUUGCCUAUGUCCUGAAUGGUUUUGCCUAGAUUUUCUUCUAGGGUUUUUAUGGUGUUAGGUCUUAUAUUUAAGUCUUUAAUCCAUCUGGAGUUAAUUUUAGUGUAAGGUGUCAGAAAGGGGUCCAGUUUCUGCUUUCUGCUCAUGGCUAGCCAGUUUUCCCAACACCAUUUAUGAAACAGGGAAUCCUUUCUCCAUUGCUUGUUUUUGUCAGGUUUGUCAAAGAACAGAGGCCUUGGAGGUAUCUACAUCCAUCUGAUUUUUGAGGAGGAUUUUUUGGUGGCUAAAGUGAGACCAGAAAAAGAAGAGAGAUUUGUGGAUCUCAGGAGAAGCAAGAACUUGCCAUUUGCUUCCUGAGCAGGAAUUAGUAUUCUACGGCAGGGUCGGAAAAUACAUAUAACCUAUGGACCAAGCCCAGUCGGUUGACUGUGUUUUAUAAAUAAAUUUUGUUGGAACACAGCUAUGCCCUUUUAUUUACAUAUUGUAUGUAGCUGCUUUCACUCUACAAUGGCAGAGUUGAGAAAUUGCCAUAGAGACCAUAUGGCUUGCACAAAGCCAGAAAUAUUUACUGUCUUGACCUUUAGAAAAAAUGGUUACCAGCCUCCAUUCUGUGGUGUUGCUGUCAUCAUAUCUAUUUUAGGUGAGGCUACUUUACAUCAAUCUGAUACUCACAAAUUAUUUUCCUGUGUUGUGUGACUCUGUUAAAACUCAUGUAGUAUUCUAAGAGUCGUGGGUUAAGC